AAAGGAAUUGACGGGGGCCCGCACAAGCGGAGGAGCAUGUGGCUUAAUUCGAUGCAACGCGAAGAACCUUACCCGGGUUUGACAUGCAGCUGCAAGACCUAUGAAAGUAGGUUCCCUUCGAGGGUGCUGCACAGGUGCUGCAUGGCUGUCGUCAGUUCGUGCCGUGAGGUGUUUGGUUAAGUCCAGCAACGAACGCAACCCCUGCGCCUAGUUACCAGCGAGUAACGUCGGGGACUCUAGGCGGACCGCCCGUGCAAGCGGGAGGAAGGUGGGGAUGACGUCAAGUCAGCAUGGCCCUUACGCCCGGGGCUGCACACGUGCUACAAUGGCCGGUACAAUGGGACGCAACGCCGCAAGGCCGCGCAAACCCCCAGAACCGGCCCCAGUUCGGAUCGGGGUCUGCAACUCGACCCCGUGAAGCCGGAUUCGCUAGUAACGGCGCAUCAGCUACGGCGCCGUGAAUACGUUCCCGGGCCUUGUACACACCGCCCGU
This 493-nucleotide ribosomal RNA is filed under the name uncultured bacterium. RNAcentral's name for it is "bacterial SSU rRNA". It matches the Rfam family "Bacterial small subunit ribosomal RNA", at positions 903 to 1397 of the family's 1533-position model. The record is from RNAcentral.